UACAGAGGGUGCAAGCGUUAAUCGGAAUUACUGGGCGUAAAGCGUGCGCAGGCGGUUGUGCAAGACAGAUGUGAAAUCCCCGGGCUCAACCUGGGAACUGCAUUUGUGACUGCACAGCUUGAGUGCGGCAGAGGGGGAUGGAAUUCCGCGUGUAGCAGUGAAAUGCGUAGAUAUGCGGAGGAACACCGAUGGCGAAGGCAAUCCCCUGGGCCUGCACUGACGCUCAUGCACGAAAGCGUGGGGAGCAAACAGG
This 253-nucleotide ribosomal RNA is filed under the name uncultured bacterium. Its description in RNAcentral is "partial 16S ribosomal RNA". It matches the Rfam family "Bacterial small subunit ribosomal RNA", at positions 524 to 776 of the family's 1533-position model. The record is from RNAcentral.